AACGAACGCUGGCGGCAGGCUUAACACAUGCAAGUCGAGCGCCCCGCAAGGGGAGCGGCAGACGGGUGAGUAACGCGUGGGAAUCUACCAUUUGCUACGGAACAACAGUUGGAAACGACUGCUAAUACCGUAUGUGCCCUUCGGGGGAAAGAUUUAUCGGCAAAUGAUGAGCCCGCGUUGGAUUAGCUAGUUGGUGGGUAAAGGCCUACCAAGGCGACGAUCCAUAGCUGGUCUGAGAGGAUGAUCAGCCACACUGGGGACUGAGACACGGGCCCAGACUCCUACGGGGAGCAGCAGUGGGGAAUAUGGGACAAUGGGGCNCAAGCCUGAUCCAGCCAUGCCG
This 343-nucleotide ribosomal RNA is filed under the name uncultured Hyphomicrobiales bacterium. Its description in RNAcentral is "bacterial SSU rRNA". It matches the Rfam family "Bacterial small subunit ribosomal RNA", at positions 29 to 399 of the family's 1533-position model. The record is from RNAcentral. Lineage: Bacteria; Pseudomonadati; Pseudomonadota; Alphaproteobacteria; Hyphomicrobiales.